UGAGGAAUAUUGGACAAUGGGCGCAAGCCUGAUCCAGCCAUGCCGCGUGCAGGAUGACGGUCCUAUGGAUUGUAAACUGCUUUUGUACAGGAAGAAACAGUUCUACGUGUAGAACCUUGACGGUACUGUAAGAAUAAGGAUCGGCUAACUCCGUGCCAGCAGCCGCGGUAAUACGGAGGAUCCAAGCGUUAUCCGGAAUCAUUGGGUUUAGAGGGUCCGUAGGCGGUUAGAUAAGUCAGUGGUGAAAGCCCAUCGCUCAACGGUGGAACGGCCAUUGAUACUGUCUGACUUGAAUUAUUAGGAAGUAACUAGAAUAUGUAGUGUAGCGGUGAAAUGCUUAGAGAUUACAUGGAAUACCAAUUGCGAAGGCAGGUUACUACUAAUGGAUUGACGCUGAUGGACGAAAGCGUGGGUAGCGAACAGGAUUAGAUACCCAGGUAGUCCCUGAGCGGGCUGGCAAGGCGCAU
This 467-nucleotide ribosomal RNA is filed under the name uncultured bacterium. RNAcentral describes it as "bacterial SSU rRNA". It matches the Rfam family "Bacterial small subunit ribosomal RNA", at positions 355 to 825 of the family's 1533-position model. The record is from RNAcentral.